UCGCACCAACCCCCGCCUUCUGAGUUUCCAUUUUACAGGAUAGGCUGCCUGCUCCUCACUUCGCCAGUCCUCCUCCGUCCCUCGCCGCGAUCAUCCGGCUGCGCCUCCGCGCGUUUGGUUUACUUCGGAGCAGCACAGUUCGACCGUAUUGGUACAUUAACAUCAGAAUUCCAAUUUUGAUGAGAAUUUAGAUACUAUUUUUUUGAGUCUAACAACUACUGCUUAAGUAACGGCUACUACACAUUCGAUUAAAUCGAGAAGAAGAUGCUGCUGCUACGGUUUCCGCUCUUCUUCUCGUGGUUGUUGCUGCUUUGUGUUUCGUUGAUCGGCGGAUCAGAGGCCUCUCUUCCGUCCAGAGAUCUUCUCGGAAUCUCGCCUCAAGAUGAGACGUACUAUAAAGGAUUGUCAUCCGGAGCUGCCAUAAAAUGUAAAAACGGAUCCAACAAAUUCACGCCGGCUCAGCUCAAUGAUGAUUUCUGCGAUUGUCCUGAUGGCUCGGAUGAGCCAGGAACCUCAGCAUGUCCCAAUGGCAAGUUUUAUUGCCGGAAUGCUGGACAUAUGCCCCUCCUUAUAAAUUCCUCGAUGGUUAAUGAUGGCAUCUGCGAUUGCUGUGAUGGGAGUGAUGAGUAUGGUGGCAAAACUAAGUGCCCGGAUAUGUGUUGGGAGGUUGGCAAGGUGACUAGAGAUAAGUUAAAGAAAAGAAUUGCAAUAUUUCAGGAAGGUGUUAUUAUAAGGAAGCAGGAAGUUGAACAAGCAAAACUAGCGAUUUUGAAGGAGGAAGCAGAACUAGCAAAGCUAACAAAAGAGGAGAAGAUACUUAAAGAUAUAGUUGAGCAGUUGAAAGAGCACAAGGAACAGAUAGAAGAGGCUGAGGAAAAAGAACGAAUGCAAAGAGAAAAGGAGAAGGAAAAGAAAGAAGCUGAUGAAGCUAAGUUGGAGGUAACCAAAACUGGGGAGAAUUAUCUUGAAGAAGCUGAAAAUGCGAAGGAUGGCAUCCAUAGCAAGAUUCCCUCUGAGGAUGCUCCUGCUUUAGAGAAUGUGGUAGAAGAUCAUAGCAGUAAAGUGGACAAAGUUGAUAAGAGUGACAUUUCAAUAAUGGAUGAAACCCCUGGUGAUGAUGUAGGCAGGGUGAUAGAGGACUCCCCCAAGCAUGCUAUGAUAGAAGAGGGGUCGUCUGCAAGUGAAAAUAAAGCUGAUCUUAGGAGCAGUGAGGUGAAAGAUGCUACUGAAAAUACUGAGUCCUUGUCAAGGGAAGAGUUGGGCCGUGUUGUUGGUUCUCGUUGGACAGGAAAGAAGGCUGAGCAGGAAACAGGGGAGGCCAAGGCUAAUAAAGAUGAUCAUGGUGACCAUGAUGAAGAAUACAAUAUGUAUGAUUCAGAAGCUGACACUGAAGAUCAAAUGGAUGAGGAAGAUCAUGAUUCAAGUUCAUCGUCAUUAUUAUCUGAUGAUGAUACUGACGAUCAUGGGGAUGAUUUUGAAGGGGAAGAUCACGAUUCAAGUUCAUCAUCAGAUGAUGAACUGGAUUUAUCAGAUAUAACUAGCACAAGCAAUCCACCUUGGCUGGAGAAGAUAAAAAGAAAUGCUCAGAAGAUUUUUAAGACUUUUAAAUUGUUCCAAACUCCAGUAGACAUAUCUGAGGCUGCACGUGUACGCAAAGAAUAUAAUGGUUCAACUGCCAAGUGGACAAAAAUUCAGUCAAGAAUAUCUAAGUUGACAAGGAAGCUAAAGCGUGAUUUUGGGCCAGAGAAGGAAUUCUAUUCAUUCCAUGGUCAAUGUUUUGAAAUCAAGCAAAACAAGUACACAUACAAGAUUUGCCCUUUCAAAAAGGCCACACAAGUUGAUGAGUAUAGUACAACUUAUUUGGGGAAUUGGGAUAAAUUUGAGGACUCAUACAGAACCAUGCAAUUUUCAAAUGGAGAUAAUUGCUGGAAUGGGCCAGAUAGGAGUCUAAAGGUCAAACUAAGAUGUGGGUUGAAAAACGAGGUAAAUAGUGUAGAUGAGCCUAGCCGGUGCGAAUAUCUUGCAGUUUUAUCUACACCAGCUCUCUGUUCAGAAGAAAAGCUAAAGGAACUCGAAGAUAAACUAAAGAUGCUGGACAGGGAGCUACCACAAGGAACACAAGGUCACGAUGAACUGUGAAGGAUUUGUUUGAAAAAAAAAAAAAAACAUUUUUUUUUGAGGCAUACAAAGCUAGAAAAGCGUCGUCAAUUGCCUGAGCUUGAAUUGAAAAGGAGGGGGGGGAGUGAAGAAGAAUUAUACAUUUAGAUGGUAAAAGUAUAAGAGUCGCGUGAUCUUCAAGAAAAGCCAGUGCCCGACGGCGAAAUCCGAGAUAAUACACGUGACUUCACCACAUUAUCAUUAUCAGCUUUAUGUUUACUGUGUACGGAACUAUAGAGAGCAAAUCUAUUGAUGGAUCAAGAGAGAAAAA
This is an RNA transcript of Ipomoea nil (Japanese morning glory), 2428 nucleotides long. It is a transcript of the gene named glucosidase 2 subunit beta-like, with no coding region annotated. The transcript has 17 exons. Lineage: Eukaryota; Viridiplantae; Streptophyta; Magnoliopsida; Solanales; Convolvulaceae. The record is from RefSeq and is a predicted model, not a curated record.